CACCGCCCGUCGCUACUCGGAACUGAGCCGUCUCGAGAAAAGCGGGGACUGCUGUUUCGAGACCUUCCGAGGUGGAGAUUCUUUGGUGGGAACCACCUUAAUCGCAGUGCCUUGAACCGGGCAGAAGUCGUAACAAGGUUUCCAUAGGUCAACCUGCGGGAG
This 162-nucleotide non-coding RNA is filed under the name Toxocara canis (dog roundworm). RNAcentral describes it as "Eukaryotic small subunit ribosomal RNA". It matches the Rfam family "Eukaryotic small subunit ribosomal RNA", at positions 1667 to 1823 of the family's 1831-position model. The record is from Rfam by way of RNAcentral. Lineage: Eukaryota; Metazoa; Nematoda; Chromadorea; Rhabditida; Toxocaridae.